This is a long non-coding RNA of Suricata suricatta (meerkat), 415 nucleotides long. RefSeq lists it as uncharacterized. The transcript is spliced from 2 exons. The record is from RefSeq and is a predicted model, not a curated record. NCBI's taxonomy places the organism in Eukaryota, Metazoa, Chordata, Mammalia, Carnivora, Herpestidae.
CUUGAGCAUGACCAGUCAGAUCUGAGUGUUGGAAGCCUGUGCAGAUUCACCUCAGUUCUGUCUUGAGUCUGGUGCCUCGCAAAAUUAGGUCGAUAAGAGCACGUGAGUCUCCAUGUUGAUAUUAAGGCUAAAGACCAUCCAGGUGGAUCCUUGUGCGAUGGACAUAUGGAUUUCCUGUUUUUUUCUGGGCUACAGAGAGAGGAUCCCCUCUUCAUUUUGAGCCUCUUCAGACGUCAUCCACACCUGUGGGAGAGCCCCAAGCCUUUCACUGGAACUCACAUCUUUAGAAGGCACCUUAUCCUUUCCAUCAGAUUUGUGUAUUUGAAAAAGUAGAAAGGGUGCAGCAUCAGCGUUCAGAAUAGCAGUCACCCCCACGAGAAGGUGGGGAAAAGAGAUGGGAAGUCCACCAGGCAAA